This 246-nucleotide ribosomal RNA is filed under the name uncultured bacterium. RNAcentral's name for it is "partial small subunit ribosomal RNA". It matches the Rfam family "Bacterial small subunit ribosomal RNA", at positions 26 to 288 of the family's 1533-position model. The record is from RNAcentral.
AGAAUCAACGCUGGCGGCGUGCCUAACACAUGCAAGUCGAACGAGAAAGUGGAGCAAUCCAUGAGUAAAGUGGCGCACGGGUGAGUAACACGUGACUAACCUACCCUUGAGUGGGGGUAACCUAGGGAAACCUGGGCUAAUACCGCAUAAUACCUUCGGGUCAAAGGAGCAAUUCGCUUAAGGAGGGGUCGCGGCCGAUUAGUUAGUUGGCGGGGUAAUGGCCCACCAAGACUGUGAUCGGUAUCC